ACCGGGCCUCUAGUAUACUAUAAAAUUGGAACUGUACAGAGAAGAUUAGCAUGGCCCCUAUGCAAAGGUAACACACAAAUUCACGAAGUGUCCCAUAGUUUU
Molecule: small nuclear RNA, 102 nt
Organism: Myotis lucifugus (little brown bat)
Lineage: Eukaryota; Metazoa; Chordata; Mammalia; Chiroptera; Vespertilionidae
Source: Ensembl